Molecule: RNA transcript, 2995 nt
Organism: Spea bombifrons (plains spadefoot toad)
Lineage: Eukaryota; Metazoa; Chordata; Amphibia; Anura; Pelobatidae
Gene: SPNS2
Gene name: SPNS lysolipid transporter 2, sphingosine-1-phosphate
Exons: 14
Source: RefSeq, a predicted model, not a curated record
UGUAUGCAGCAGAGGGUUUGCAGGAAUCUGUGCGUUGUGAGCUGUCAAGUGUCACCCAAGCUGUGUGAGCAGUGAGAUGUGUGUGCAGCUGCAUGCAUCCUAUCUGUCCUAGUACAUUGCUGCUGCCGCCGCCGCUUUGUUUCAUUCAUUGACAAGGAUCCCUACAAGAAGGGCAACGUGAGUCUUUUGCACCCAGCUGCCCGGGAUCACUGGAGGAGCUCCGGGCAGCAGCUCAUGAUGUGCCUUGAGAGUGAUGGAUCGGGCACCGGAGGCAGCAGCCAAGACUGUAUCCCUGGAGCUGAGGAGGGGGUCGGGGGUUUGGAGACUCUCCCCGGUAGCAUCCCUGUUACUACCCCUCUGGAUAUUAAAUCCAGAGAUACGGACAGCCCCAUCAGUAAAGCCACGGCCCCCAAAAAGCUGAACCGGAGACGUGCCAGGGUGGUAGCCGCUGGCAUCUUAAGCGUGGGCAACGUGCUGAAUUACCUGGACCGAUACACCGUGGCAGGUGUUUUACUGGAUAUCCAACAACACUUUGGAGUAAAAGACAGUGGAGCAGGUCUGCUACAGACAGUUUUCAUCUGCAGCUUUAUGAUAGCUGCACCGAUCUUUGGUUAUUUAGGAGAUCGAUUUAACAGAAAAGUGAUUCUGAGUUGUGGAAUAUUCUUCUGGUCAAUUAUCACUUUCUCAAGUUCCUUCAUCCCAAAACAGUACUUUUGGCUCCUGGUACUCUCUCGAGGGUUAGUGGGCAUUGGAGAAGCAAGUUACUCCACCAUCGCUCCCACCAUUAUCGGGGACUUGUUUACGAAGAACACCCGCACACUCAUGCUGUCUGUCUUCUACUUCGCCAUACCACUCGGAAGUGGUUUAGGAUACAUCAUUGGUUCGAGCGUUAAGCAAGUAGCAGGGGACUGGCGCUGGGCAUUGCGGGUGUCUCCAGUGCUGGGUAUGAUAACAGGAACGCUGUUAUUAAUAUUUGUGCCAGCAGCCAAGAGAGGCCACGCAGAUCCAAAUAAACAUAGGACAUCUUGGGUCAAUGACAUGAAAGCACUUAUUAAAAACCGGAGUUAUGUCUUCUCUUCACUGGCAACUUCUACAGUGUCUUUUGCGACAGGGGCUUUGGGCAUGUGGAUUCCACUCUAUCUGUACAGGGCCCAGGUGGUACAGAAAACCAUGGAACCGUGCAACAUUGGACUGUGCAGCACCAAGGACAGCCUGAUAUUCGGGGCAAUCACCUGCAUCACUGGUUUUCUGGGGGUUAUCACCGGGGCAGGAGCUACUAAAUGGUGUCGCCAGAAGACUAAGCGUGCUGACCCCCUGGUCUGUGCUGUUGGCAUGCUGGGGUCAGCUAUAUUCAUCUGCCUGGUCUUCGUGGCUGCUAAGAGCAGCAGCGUAGCUGCAUAUAUUUGCAUAUUCGCUGGAGAGACUCUUUUAUUUUCUAACUGGGCCAUAACUGCUGACAUUUUAAUGUAUGUGGUGAAACCAACACGACGGGCAACUGCUGUGGCCUUGCAGAGCUUUACAUCCCACCUUCUUGGAGAUGCUGGCAGUCCGUACCUGAUAGGAUUUAUCUCGGACCUCAUCCAGCAGAGCACCACACAAUCUCCUCUGUGGGAGUUCCUGAGCCUUGGUUAUGCACUCAUGCUUUGCCCCUUUGUGGUCGUUCUCGGGGGAAUGUUUUUCCUGGCAACUGCACUUUACUUUUUGAAGGACUGUGAUGACGCAGAGCAGCAUGAGUCGUGCUCAGAUCCCUUCACUGCUGGCAGCUGUAGCGACUCAGAAGAAGCUUCCAUCUUAUAGCUUUUUUUAGGUGAGUCAGCUGGCGAUGUCACCGGUUUCUGCGAACGUCUGAUAAGGUGAAAAGAAGAAAAGAGUCUUGGAUGUAAAAAUCUGGAAAAAGGAACAUUUUGGGUAUUUCUCAAAAAUGCAUGUAAUGCAAUACAAAGUCAACAGUCUAUGUUGACGCAACUAUUCUGUUUGAACUAUCGUAAGAAUUGUCAAUGGCAAUUGGGAAAGUGAACACUUUUUGAAAUUUGGGAUGGCUUUAAGACUGUCCAAAGGGACUCCGGAUUGUUGAAGUGGUUGCCGGUAAAAUGGAUGCACUGAAACUUCAUCAUUCCAGAGUGUGACUGAAUACACUGGACGCACUGUGACCAUGGGGGCGACACGCAGAACACGCUUACAAAUGUGGCCCCUUUCUAGCAGCUGAAAUCACUGAUGAGGUUAAGUGUGCAAACUGGUUGAAGGAUACUUUGUUUCAGAUGAAGUUAAUUCUUAUUAUAUAUUAUGUAAAGUAGCUGUAAAUACUUUUUUUUAAAAAAACCUGUAUAUAAAAUAUAGAGAGCUAUAUAUGUAUAUUUUUUACUCACACCAACUCUUUUAUUUUAAGUCUUGGAUGUGUGUGACCCACAUUUAUAUUGACCUUAGAUAUUUAUUCUGUUAUUGGCACCAGAGCUUUAAGAUAGUUAUCGAAUAUAGCUCCAAAGGGGAUAAGCUAUGUUCCUUUCAUGAAUACUUGGUUUACAAAGCGAUUUAAAUGGUGGUUAUAUUUCUUAAGGUGCAGUUUGACAAAACACUGAGCAUUUGAAUUCAGUUUACAGUAUUAAAGAGCCGUUUAUGUUUUAAAAUACUUUGGCUUUUUUUUUCAUAGACGCCAAAGUUAUUUAUGAUUUGCACCCUGGAGUUAUCAGAAAACAAGGUGUGUCUCCUGUGUAGCAAAAGCUCAUUUUGAUCGCAGGCCUGUAGAGAGGUUCUAGGGGUUAAGAUUCCCUAUGUUGAUUUAGGUCAAAAUGUAGCUUGCUUACCUGAGCAAAGAAUUGAUGUGUCCAGGAGGAAGCAGCUUGUGACUUAUGAACUAUGUGCUGUUCUCCCCAAAUUCCCAAAGCAAUAUAAAAAUACAUUUUGACUACUUUAAAAGAAGCCAUAUUUAGUGGCAUUUUCAAUAUCGGCAUCAUCGAGAGUCUCCAUGAAUUGCAAAGCAAUGUAAUAUGACACAAAA